UAACAGACAGCAAACCCACUGUAAAGAUACAAAAAUGCAAAUUUGAAUGUGGAUCUAUUAAAAGCUGCUGUUUCCUGGGGAAGGCUGGAGCGGGAUUCAACUAAAGCUCAUCUUGACUUAAGUACAUGUUAUGGUUGUUUUGUUUCUCCACGAGAGAAGCAAGCAGAGACACUGGCUCAGAGAGUCCAAUGCCUGGAUGAGGAUGGAGAAUGUCCUACACCCCAUCACGGAAUCCACCUUACAGGAGGGAGGGAAAACUGCAUAACAAGAGAACCCAUUUUCCAGGAGGAGGGGAAGGUGAAAGACUCCUCUUAUCUCUUGCCCAGGGGUUCAUAGUGUAAGGCUGACAGGCCAGUGCAUGCCAGAGUCUCAGGAUAAUUCACUUGUAUGUGAAUAUCAAAGAAGUGUUAGUAUGUGUUCAAACUAAUUCAGAUGUAUGCUAAUAGAGAUUAAAGGAGAUGUUGAUUGUGUUUUCGUCUGUCUUUAUCCUGUAGUUUGCUAUUACAUUACUUCUACAUUAUGUAUACCCUGUAAUUAAAUAACCCUAGAUCCAAGGUGUGUUAAUGUAAUAUUGUAGUCAGGUGUUAAAACUUCAUGAAAACUAAUGGAAUGUUCCUUGUGUUGUAUUCGCUUAUCUAUUUCUAUUGUAACCCUUCUGCCCGUCAGAGUUGGCAGCAACAAGGGCCGGGUUCAGUAUCUAGGGGAUCCAUUCCAAUAACACAAUGCAAAUCCGGCUCGAGCCCCCACCCAGUCACCUGGGACAAAUAUAUACCACCCCCGCUGGGCGCCUCCAAGAGGCAAUACUUCCCCUCUCGCAAGCACCUAGUUGGGGUGUAGUAAAAAGCCUUUUAAUAACAGAGAGAAACAAUGUGGCAUUAUGUUGGGGAAACACCACCGACAGGAUUCAUAACACAACCCAUGAGCAAAACCCACCUCAAGCAAAUUGGGGCAUGUCCUUUCCCUUUGGUUCUUGAGUCUAGCAACCCAAAAUCACCCAAAGUUCCAAAAGUCCAACGACCCAAACAUCUCUGUCCUUGGUCAGGGCAGCCCCAGAGUUCAAAAGUUUAUCUGCAGAGUUUUACCUCCCAACCUGGAUUGAGAUGGGGGGGGGGGUUUAAGGGGCACCUUACGUAGUCCAAAGCUGAUGGCCCCACCUCUCCAUGGGGCGUCGCUCCGCUCGCCAUCCCGCAAACUGCUCUGCUCCGCCAGCCGCUCCGCUCGCCGUCCCGCAAACUGCAGUGCUCUGCCAGCCGCUCUGCUCACUGUCCCGCAAACUGCUCUACCAUAUAGCUUAAGGUCCCCCACUACUUAACACAACACUCAGUGAUUUCAGCUCUUAGUAAGUUUAGCUUUUUUGUGAUUUCAGCUUGUAGUAAGGGAGCCUCGGUGCUGGUGCACCAUUAGCCCAAAGUGACUUCAGCUCAGCAACCUAUGACUAGACUCCUAAUGGAAUCACAAUUCGCUCUAAUAUUCCACAGUGGAGAAAGGAAGAAGUCCAAUUAGCAUGUAAAGCCCUCACCAGGGGACCAAUGCCAGCAAGCAUUAAUACCUGUCCCUAGAUUCUCUCAAUUCAUAGAGUUUUGGAACUCAUGUCCCUUACCUAGCGAGUGCUACUUAGUUGAUGGCGAGUCCCUCCAUCAUAACAAAAGGCCAAGUACAGUUCCACUGUCCUUGAUUCCCAUAAUCAGGGUAAUAACAAUUUAUUCUUCCUACCCCAAUAACAGAGACACUGGGGAUCCCACAGCAGCCAAAGUGACCAUUUGGGCAGCUAUGGCCUCAUUCUAGGCGGGAUGGGUGUGCCUAUGCAAAUGAGAUCAGCCCCUGAAGUUCUUUUCCACAACUUGCCACACCUCACCGCCAGAUGUCAGGGUGGAGCUCAUCCUGACUCUGCUUACACUAUUAUAAUGUGAAGGCAGGCAUUUACAUUAUGUAUAUCCUUGUAACUAAAUAGCUUAUUAAAUGCAGAGGAAAUGGGGGAAAUGCAAACGAAGAAGAGUGCUAAAGGGUCAUUGUUUUUAAAAAUGGGAAAUCUCAGACUCAGUCUGCAUUUCCUACUAAUCAAAACCCACGCGGGUGAAGACACUGUUCAGAUUAUUUUCUGGAAAAGCUAUAAAUGGAUUUAAAGGAAUGAUCCUGUACCUCUGAAUUGUCUGGACACUUACAGGGAAGCAUUCCAGAUGCAAGGUAGAGAUCCCCAGAGUUUUUCUGGGUGACCCUGAGAGCCUUUUGGAAAUCUAGCAGAUUACUACAUCUCUGCUAUAAUUUGGAUUUAAAACUUUGACUCACCUGUAAAUGUAUUUUACCUGCUUUCACCUCCCAAUACUCUCA
Molecule: long non-coding RNA, 2328 nt
Organism: Caretta caretta (loggerhead turtle)
Lineage: Eukaryota; Metazoa; Chordata; Testudines; Cheloniidae
Source: RefSeq, a predicted model, not a curated record